Molecule: ribosomal RNA, 366 nt
Filed under: uncultured eukaryote
Lineage: Eukaryota
Description: partial 18S ribosomal RNA
Rfam family: Eukaryotic small subunit ribosomal RNA
Source: RNAcentral
CAAUAGCGUAUAUUAAAGUUGUUGCAGUUAAAAAGCUCGUAGUUGAAUUUCUGGCGGGCGCGCCGGUCUUCCAAGUGUUGUACUGGGCGCAGUCCGCCAUCCUUGUGGAGAGGGCUCGCAUUGAGUUGCGUGUCGGAUCUGCAUCAUUUACUGUGAAAAAAUUAGAGUGUUUAAAGCAGGCUGUCGCUUGAAUACAUUAGCAUGGAAUAAUAAGAUAGGACUUCGGUCUAUUUUGUUGGUUGCGAACCGAGGUAAUGAUUAAUAGGGAUAGUUGGGGGUAUUCAUAUUUAAUUGUCAGAGGUGAAAUUCUCGGAUUUAUGAAAGAUGAACAACUGCGAAAGCAUUUACCAAGGAUGUUUUCAUUAA